RNAcentral lists this ribosomal RNA (279 nucleotides) under uncultured bacterium. RNAcentral's name for it is "partial 16S ribosomal RNA". It matches the Rfam family "Bacterial small subunit ribosomal RNA", at positions 506 to 784 of the family's 1533-position model. The record is from RNAcentral.
UGCCAGCAGCCGCGGUAACACGGGGGGCGCAAGCGUUAUUCGGAAUUAUUGGGCGUAAAGGGUACGUAGGCGGCCCUGUAAGCAUCUCGUGAAAUCCCACGGCUCAACCGUGGAAUUGCGGGGUGAACUACAGGGCUUGAGGCAGGUAGAGGUUGUCGGAACGAUCGGUGGAGCGGUGAAAUGCGUUGAUAUCGAUCGGAACGCCAAAGGAGAAGUCAGGCAGCUGGGCCUGUCCUGACGCUGAGGUACGAAAGCGUGGGUAGCGAACGGGAUUAGAUA